AUGUAUAAUAACAACAUGGGACCACACCCUUGGAUGCCAAUGCCUCAGCCUAACCCAUUUGGCAAUGCCUUCUCUGGCCUUAUCAGAAGUGGAUUGGGAUCCAGCUCUGAGUAUGUGCAGAGCAACUCUUGCUGUAACCUUAUCAGGGGACUCUGGACUAGAAUCUCGGAACCAGUUGGGGGAAGACUUUCAUACAAGCCUCCAAUACAUGAUAUUUUAGUGCACCAGACUUAUACAUUCCCUUCAUGGCCUUUGGCACUUAUCUCUUUCUUGCUGGUUUCUCUAGGACUCUAUGGCAAGUUUUCUCCCGGAGCUCUGAAUUGGCUUUUUGUGAAAUGAAUGGUUGGCUGGUUUUUGCAAGUCAUGCUUCUGAAGAUAACCUUGCUUUCAUUAGGUAGCCGCGAAUCACCCCUCUUGGACAUUGUGGCAUAUGCAGGCUAUGCUUUCACUGGUCUCUUCUUGGCAAGAUCAUUUGGGGAUAUUCUUACUAUGUUUUGAUUCCGUGGACUUGCUUAUGCACCGGAGUUCUCUUGGUGAAGACAAUGAAGCGAGUUCUCUUUGCAGAAGCUAGGAGUUAUGACUCAAGCAGAAAAUCAUUACCUCUUGAUUUUUUAGCAUUAGCACAGUUUCCUCUUUUGAUCUGGCUUGGUAACAUUAGUGUCGAUUGGCUCUUUUGAGAUUCAUUAGUUGUGAAUAAAAAGAACACUUAUGAUGUUAUGAGAUGUACGAUACUCCUGAUGAAGUAGUACACCUCUCUCUUUUCAUAACUUCUUUUUAAUGUCAAUUUUUUUUGCAUAGACUACAUUUCCAACAUGAUUUAAAACCAAACAAGGACAUGAACUUUGGUCAUAUAGUAUUAUUAUCUAUACUCCAAGCCCUCCUCUUGCAUUGCAUUGGUGCAUUGUGAUACUCCUUGGCAGAUGGUUCCUUUUAAACCUGAAUGAAAGACAUGGAACCCUUUCUUUUAAAGAUAGUAUUCUUAUACAAAGAAAAAGAAGAAGAAGGUCGUCGUGUUGAACCUAAUUAGGAUCUAAUAUGCUUCCCAUCUUUGUAGCGUUGUUGAUAAGUUACAUCAAACCAAAUAUUGACCGACCUCAAAAACUAGUUUUAAAUCAUUUUCACUUCAGUCAAAUCUAUCUUGAAAUGCAAGUUAUUACCAUCUAAAGCAUACUAAACUGAUUAGAUUACAUUAGUGUUAUUCCAGUAUCUCAAUCUGUUUUAGAUGCGUCUAAACUAAAAAUGACACUUCUAAGAAAAUGGGGAAGUAACAAUUAGUGGUUAUUAUUUUUUUCACAAUUUUUUCAUCUAAGUAUAAUAUUUACAUGACAAAUUUGGAAGAAGUUAUCCAAUACCAUUUUAGAUUUUUCGAUCUAAAAUGUCAAUAAUCAUUUUCAUUUGACCAAAAUAUCUAAUAAAAGACAAUUGAAUCAUUCAUCAAAGUUUAAAAUUAGGAAGUUACUAUUAAUAAAAGUUUGGUUUUACUUAUAAAUACGUUGGUUUAUUGAUCUGAAAUUACUAACAAAAAAAGAAGAAAAAAAACAAGAACCAUUUAAGAGCUUAUAAAACAAUGGCUAUCGAAAAGAAAACCCUGAUCGCCUCCUUCAUCACCGUUAUGAUGAUGGUAAUGAUGAUCGUGAACCAAGUCGAGGCCAGGAACCAUGUCACAAUCAAGCCGCCUCCAAAGUGAUCAUAGUCUUUUUGUUUUUUUUUUCUAAAUCGAUGGCUCCAAAAGUUUAUGAGAAAAUAAAUGGUUCCUUCAACGUGGAGCUUAAAGCAUGCAUGGCUUAACUAAUUUUUAUUUACUUCAUAUAUAUAAUAUUUUCAUCCUCUUAUUUGUUUAGUUAUGGAUGUAUAACUUAUAAAUAAUGUUUCACAAAAUAAUAUUUUGUAUGUGAAUGAAAUGUACUAGUUUCAUAUUUCAUAGGCAGAGAUUGGUGUUGUGAUCUCUCUAGAAAUUGACAACAUUAAUGUUCACAUUAUUUUUUCUUUUGUUUGUAACAGAGGAUAAAAAUAUCCUUGUUAUAUUAAUAUUAUUAAGUGAGAUUUAGCUA
Molecule: RNA transcript, 2051 nt
Organism: Brassica napus (rape)
Lineage: Eukaryota; Viridiplantae; Streptophyta; Magnoliopsida; Brassicales; Brassicaceae
Gene name: protein YIF1B-B-like
Exons: 3
Source: RefSeq, a predicted model, not a curated record